This is a long non-coding RNA of Marmota monax (woodchuck), 2810 nucleotides long. RefSeq lists it as uncharacterized. The transcript is spliced from 2 exons. The record is from RefSeq and is a predicted model, not a curated record. Lineage: Eukaryota; Metazoa; Chordata; Mammalia; Rodentia; Sciuridae.
UGAAAACAAAACUAAGUUAUAUUUGGUUUUGUAUUUGGUGCUGUGACAUUAAAGAUCAUUUUAAAGGCAAAAGCACAUUCUAAAAAUGUCUUCUUCCCUCUCCUUCACGUUUCUUAGUUGAGGCCCAAAACAAAUACACCGGACACUAACCCUGGUUGGGAUUCGGAGUGGAGGGAAAAGCGACCGGGCCUCCUGGGAUCCGCUUGGCCGAAGUAGAGACAUCCCGUGCUUGCAUUUUGACCUUUGCCGGUUCGGUUGCACUCGCCUUGGCAUCCCAAAAUGCUAGGCUGGCCUCCGUGAUCCCGCCCUCCCCACAUUGGCGUCAUUUUGUUUGGAUUGGUGCUGCAAUUUGUUCGUAGAACAGCAACAUAAACAGAGCGUGACUCAGGAAUUUGAAAGGGUGUGCAAAGCAAAGGGCAUGAAGGGUAAUGAAGGUUCGGAGAAGGAAACGGUAUCAGUGACUACUACUGUGGUGACCGUGCACGUUCAAAUGUAGACAUGAUUCACUUUCCCCUGUUUACCUAGAAGUUAGGCUUAUCUUUUGGAAAUGAAAACAUCGAGUCUUUUAGAUGAUUAACUGUGGUGCCCAAAUUUUCUUUUCCUCUCCUGCAACAAUUCAUAAAAAAAAACAAAACAAACAAAAAAAAAAACAGUUUUACUGGUUACAUGACCUCCUGCGGAUUGAGAACGCAGCUGGAAUGCUGAUGAAAGACUCCAGGUGGUGGGGCAGGUGAGGGAGGUGAGGAGUCCUUGCUUCCCUGAUGCUGAAGUAUAACACCAGAGAAGCACAACGAGACAAGUUUAGAAUGGGAAGCAAAAGCUUUAUUAAAGAACAAUAGAAAAGACUUCUCCAUGGAAGAAGGGGACCCAAGAAGUGGAAUCCAUGAAAGGGCGAUGUCUUCCUCCUUUUAUAGCUAAUGUCUUCUUUCAGCUUUCCCACAUUCCUGUCCUUAGUUCUGUUAUCUUGCAGUAAUGGAAUAUAGGUGGGAAGGCCCAAAAGGUGGGGGACAGGUGGGCUGAAGGAGUAAUCUGGGCAGGAAGGACUUUUGGAUUAGCAUCUCCAAAUGCUAAUCCAACAUUUGCUGGGAACUGCUUCAUUAACAUUUCCUUGGGAUGGGCUCUGGGCCUUGGGGACAUUUUCAAUUCCCCUUUUCCUGGACUCCAUUCUCAAUUUGGCCUUCAUUUUUUAUUUUAUUUCCAUAUUAGACCUGAUUUACCUAACUACACUAACUACCUAUCUUUAAAUAUGGCUUCAACUUCACCCCCAAAAUUCAGUAUAUUUCUCCUACAAAUGUGAACAUGCUAAUCUACAUAAUCAUAACAUUACUAUUACACCUAAAAAAUUAUCAAUAUCUCCCCAAAUUAUUUAAUGUUAUAUAAAGUUUAUAACCAUUUCUCCUCAGUUGCCCCUAAAUGCUUUUUAUUUCCUCAGUCAAGCACUAGAAUGUGAAAACAGCUAGAAUUCGCCACAUAGAUAAGUCUGAUUUCUUUUAUUUGGAAUUUUAUACUAUUCCCAGUAUUUUAUAUUAUCAUGUGUAAACAUGAAUAAAACCAGAAUUUUGGUGGAUUUGAUCUCUAAAGAGAAAUAUAAUAGAUAAAGAUUCAGUUACUUGCAAUCAUGUGCUAAAUUCACUUGCUAUACUUGGAAUUUAAACAAAGAAUUUCAUUAUUUAAAUUGAAUCUUUAAAUAGGCUAUUGUGUACAAAACAAGUAUCAAAUAUCAGGAUGAGACUGGUUCUUGCCUGUAGGACUGUACAGGGGUGGACCUUUGUUAAUAAUUUGUGCCGUUUUGCUAUAUUCCCAACUGCCAUUACAUUAGUUUAGUCUUCAUUGUUUUUGAUUUGACAUAUAGUUCUGGUUAUCUAUUGCUAUAUAAUAAACCCUUCAAAUUAGUGUCUUAAAACAGUAUCUCUUUUGCUCACAUAUCUGGAGUUAUGGGUCUCAGUCAUGCAAUUCUCUUGGGUUCUUUAGUUAGAUAAAAACGGGAUAGGGUUUCUUUGAAGGCUUUUUCACUAGCACUUCUGGUAACUGGCCUAGGAAGAUUAAACAGAAGGAGCUGCUUGAUCACCUCUCUCUAUAUAUGUUCUUACCAUAGGGCCUUUCACAUAGUGGCCCUACACUAGCCAUUUUUCUUUCAUGGCAGCUACCACCUUUGUGAAUAAAUUUCCCAAGAAAUAGCACAUGGCCCUGUGUAACCUGAUCUUUUUAGCUACUACUAUGGUUUGGAUAUUGAAUAUCCCCCCAAAUCCCUGUGUUAAAGACUUAGAUACCAGCCUGUGGCACUGGUAACUAAGGUAGUGAAACUUUUAGAGGUGAGGCUUAGUGGAAGGUCUUCAGUUACUGGAGACAAGCCCUGGAAGCAAACUGCAAGACUUUAGUCUCUUGCACUCUCUCUUUGCUUUCUAGCCACUAUGAUAUGAGCAUCCUGAUGUUGUCGCUCACCAUCUGGCCAUGGACUAAAACCUCUAAAACCAUAAGUCAAAAUAAACCUUUCCUCUUUACAGUUUUUUAUCUCAGAUAUUUUGUUAUAGUAAUGGGAAGAUGACUAAUGUAAUUCCUUAGUGACACUUUUGCCUUAUUUUAUUCCAAGAGGUAAUGACAUAGUUUGGCCCAUAUUCAAAGGAAGGGACUAUAGACUCUACCUUUAGAUAGGGAAAUGUUAAAGAAUCCGUGUACAUGCUUUAAAACCAGCAUUUUAACAAGAAUUUGUUUCUAAUUCGUUGAUUAGAAAUGAUGUCCUCAUCACUUCUAGACAAGAAAGAGAUUAUUAAUGCCAAUAAAUGAAAUAAAGCCAUAUUUCCAUCCUGUCA